Non-coding RNA from Polaribacter sp. KT 15, 117 nucleotides. Lineage: Bacteria; Pseudomonadati; Bacteroidota; Flavobacteriia; Flavobacteriales; Flavobacteriaceae. The record is from Rfam.
AUCUUAUUUUUGUUGCAAGUAUGAAAAAUAACACAAACAAUACAUGGUGGUGGAACUCUCUUAUCUAAUAAGUGAGAAGAAACCUAUAUGUAUACAACAUAAUAAAAAAGGCUUAUC